Molecule: long non-coding RNA, 1141 nt
Filed under: Trifolium pratense (red clover)
Lineage: Eukaryota; Viridiplantae; Streptophyta; Magnoliopsida; Fabales; Fabaceae
Description: long non-coding RNA (TPRA_LNC005167)
Source: RNAcentral
CUACAAACUAAGUCAAUUUGGUUCAUGUGAAAAGUGGCUGAUUUAAUGAUAAACUCUUUUUAUGGGAUUUGAGGUGAGAUUAUUGGUUUGCAGGAUUGCAAAUUGGUGCAGAAAGUGUAAUUUUGGAAAAGUUCGCAGUAGACUAUUAUCCAAGGUGAGAUUUCAUUUUUUUUUUCACUAUCACACACACUACAAAUAUUUCAAGUCACAAAAAUUUACAUAUGAGAAACUUUUCCCUUACUGUCCAUUGUGAUUGAAAAUUUUCUCUAGCUUUAAUGUACUUUAUUCUCGGAGAAAUGCCUCGUAGUCUCUUAUUUGGGGUUUUUCUGUUUAGGUGUCUUAAUUUAAUUGGUCAAAAUAAAUAUGUAUUAAUUAUUUAAAAAAAAUAAAAAAUUGGAAGCCAAAUAGACAAGGUCACGUGAGACUAAUGGUUUUUAGCCCGUAAAGUUGCAACGAAGCAGAGCAAGAAGCACCGUCAAAUUCAAUUUUAGUGUUUGUCUUAGUUGCUUGGGUUUGCUUUGUUGUUCCUCCUUUUUUUGCUUCAUAUUGUUUUAUUUUAGGAGUAUUUCUUAUACUCUUUGUUAUUUCUGUAUUGGACUUAAUUUUCGGUUCUUAUUAUAUAUAUUUUAUUUGCCAUUCAAAAAAAAAUUCAAUUUUAGUGUAUUUAAAUUUUUCACGGUUCAAUUUUUAGUGUACUCAAAUUCAAUUUUAUUCAAGCUAUUUUGGGAUAUAGGGCUUUUAAUUAUAUUCAUUGAUAGUAAAUGGAAAAUUGAACAUUACAUUGACAAACAUUACAUAGACCCAAUUUACUUAACGACACUACAAUUUCUUCACUAAUAACUACAAUUGCUUAACUCCUAACUACAAUAAGAAACCAUAAAAUCAGUGCAACAAUAGCUAGAACCAAUUUUUUUUUCACUUGAACCAACAAUAAAAUCAGUAUAUUCCUAGGUUCUCCAUUGUGCAGGCAAUACACAGAGGUGAAAGAACACUACAAUUUUCAUGUCACGCGAGCUAUUACAAACACAAGACGAAUUGACACAACUCUUCGACAUUUUGCUGCACGACCUUCAAACAAUAUGCACGAAGAAGAAAUUAAAUUUAUGGUUCAAACUGUACCCACGAAAUUGAUGGCAACAAG